Molecule: long non-coding RNA, 315 nt
Organism: Zophobas morio
Lineage: Eukaryota; Metazoa; Arthropoda; Insecta; Coleoptera; Tenebrionidae
Exons: 4
Source: RefSeq, a predicted model, not a curated record
CUUAACCUUUCGUACUUAUAUUAAAACUUGAAGAACAGAAAUUGUUUUUCCUUCGCGGAUUUCCGCCAUGAAAGAACUGGCUAACAAUGAAUAUAACCCUGAUAAAAAAACACCACCUAAAAAAAACUUUUCGCAUGUUAAAGCAAAAGUGGGCUCUUUAGAAAAUAAAAAUUAUGUUUCUAAAGGUUAAAUCCUUUGAAAAUAUUAAUUUUGUUACCAGAGGAGGGAAUAUUCAAACGCCUACAUACAAAUACGAUUAUUCCCAUGUGAAGUCUAAGGCAAGUUUAGGCUUAUUUUUCAAUCGAUAUAAUUUAC